This 440-nucleotide ribosomal RNA is filed under the name uncultured bacterium. RNAcentral describes it as "partial 16S ribosomal RNA". It matches the Rfam family "Bacterial small subunit ribosomal RNA", at positions 338 to 795 of the family's 1533-position model. The record is from RNAcentral.
CCUACGGGAGGCAGCAGUAGGGAAUAUUGCUCAAUGGGGGAAACCCUGACGCAGCAACGCCGCGUGGAGGAUGAAGGUUUUCGGAUUGUAAACUCCUUUUGUUAGAGAAGAUAAUGACGGUAUCUAACGAAUAAGCACUGGCUAAUUCCGUGCCAGCAGCCGCGGUAAUACGGCGGGUGCAAGCGUUACUCGGAAUCACUGGGCGUAAAGAGCGCGUAGGCGGGUUAGCAAGUCAGAUGUGAAAUCCUAUGGCUUAACCAUAGAACUGCAUUUGAAACUGUUAUUCUUGAGUAUAGGAGAGGUAGGUGGAAUUCUUGGUGUAGGGGUGAAAUGCGUAGAGAUCAAGAGGAAUACUCAUUGCGAAGGCGACCUGCUAGAACAUAACUGACGCUGAUGCGCGAAAGCGUGGGGAGCAAACAGGAUUAGAUACCCCUGUAGUC